Homo sapiens (human) is the source of this 266-nucleotide long non-coding RNA. Lineage: Eukaryota; Metazoa; Chordata; Mammalia; Primates; Hominidae. The record is from Ensembl.
GGGCCCUAGACGUGAACUGUGGAAGACGCUGAAUAAGGACCAACAUGUCUACAGUCCAGCCUAGAAAACAGGAUGCCUGUAAUCAUUAUUCAGUGAGCAGCAACCUGCAGCAGCUCCUCCUGACUGGCAGAUGGGCCUGGCGGCCACCCAGAGGCUGGGGACACAGCAAGAAUCCAGCACAGCACCGAUCCCGAUUCCCUCCUCCCCAAACUACCUGAGCCAUGGACCUCAUUUUGUGGACAAAAUUAAACUUGCCACUUUCACAA